Molecule: long non-coding RNA, 2027 nt
Filed under: Mytilus galloprovincialis (Mediterranean mussel)
Lineage: Eukaryota; Metazoa; Mollusca; Bivalvia; Mytilida; Mytilidae
Source: RNAcentral
GGGGGUAACUGUUUUCGUUUUUGAGAUACGAGCUGUUGAAGUUAACAGCAUCAUACACCAAAAUUACAAAGGAUAUAUAGGGAAAAUCGUGACAUUUCCAAGAUUUUCUAUUAUAUUUGACAAUCGAUUUUUUUUUUAAAUUAUAAGACGAUUCUAAAAUGUCUGAGGAAUCGAUUGGUGCAAAGAAAGUCCUUAGCAACCGUGCUACUUUUCAAGCUAUACUCUGUUAAAGUUGAAUCUUGAGUGUAAAAAAACAAAAAAACAACGACAACGUUAUUGACGUCCACGCAACAGUUACGACGCUUCAUAUAGUUCUAUACUUGUAUGAAAUAUAUACCGUUUUGUUGAGAGUUCGUGUUGCUCGGUCUUUAGUUCUUUAUCUUACGUUUUGCGUACUAUUGUAUUGUGUUUGUCUAUUAUAUUCGGGUGCGUGCGGAGAUCGCCAAGCUAGAAAACGGUUGACAUUUUCUUCAUUAUGAACUAGAACUAUUUUCGACCUUGUUGCCUUAUUUUUGUUAAAAUCUAAACACUGCGACGUGUUUUCAAAAUCUCUGUUCCCAUAAAUCUUCAUUUCAUCAAGGUCUCUUCUCAGAAUAUCAGCCAUCUGUCUGGCACAGGAUAACAAAUCAAUAUUUAAGUAAAUUUUAAGUUGUGUGGUAAUUCUUAGUACAUUUGGGUAAAUUAAUCUUAUCUAUGUGCCGCAUACGCAUCUCUAUAAUUCAACACAUCCCUGAGCCACGACAUUAUAUAUUUUAUGCAUUGCAUGCGCUUCUUUUUAUUACAAUCCAGACCGGCUAGUAACCGUUGUAUAACUUUACACGUCUGAAGACGAAUAUUUGCGUGAAACAUUUUUGUAUGAUUUUUAUUUCUGGAAAUCAAUCUGAAAUCUACAAAAGUCCUUUUCCGAAAGUCAGGCUGGACCUUUACUUUUAUGUGCAUUCGGGAUUUACACAAAUUGUAACCCGAAUAAUUCAGUCGUAUUAUUCAGAUGAUGUACGAAUGCUACAUUUCUCGUGUGGGAGAAAAUCGGACAUGGAAAGGGCUUGAAUUAUUCAAGUUACUCAAAUUGAAACUGGGGAAUAUAUUUCUAGCUGUUCGAAAUUCGCGAAAACAAAUGAUUGUUUUUCGGCAUUACGGUAUUGAAUCAAUAUGAGUCAGAGAUACCAAUUAUUUCUUUUAAUAAACUGGAAUACCAGUCAGUUUAUAGGACUUCAGUUUGAAUUAGGGGCGGCAAUCCAUUCAUUUUAUCCAAUCAAUUUGGGGGGGGGAGGGAUCCAGAUCCCGAAAUCCCGAGGUUUCGAAUUUAAAAAAAAUGAAAUCCCGACUACCCGAAAUUCGGAAAUAGAAUUCCUGGAUCCCGAAAGGGUCAAUCCCGAAAUCCCGAGCUUAAAAUCACCCGAUCCCGGAGUUCCGAUAAAGGUCCUAUCCCCCCCCUCGUAAUUCUAUAUUCUUUUCAUUCAUAAUCUUGAAUUGAGACUUGAUACUUACAUUCUCUAAUUUUGAAUGAUGCACACAGCCCACAAUAAAAGAAAACAGAUUUCGCUAAAUAUCUCUUUGAAAUUGGAAUUUGUGAAAGAAGAAAUGACAUGUUAUAUUUUAUUUUACAUGUGUACUUUCAAUUUCAAUAUGGUUCUAAAUUUAGAUUUAGUUUUCCCAUAAAUUGCGGACGGAAUAGAAGACACCUAUUUUCUGCACAUGUAGAAAAAGUUGAAAACUGGGAGUUGAAUGACACAAUUUUUACUUAUUUUAAGAUAAAUGUUAGAAUUAGACAACUUUUAAGUUACUGAGUAAUUUUUGGGGCCUAAUUUGUUUAUUUUUUGUUUGUUUUCCGUCUUUGUUCUUCCGACUUGUAAGUGUUACACUAGUGAUCAAAUUAUUCUCUUGGUAUGACUGAUAUCUUAUAUGAAUAUAAAUCAUGUCCUUAAAUUUUCAAUUGCACAAAAUACGAACAUUUCAACGUCUUUUUAAUAAAACAAUUAAAUUCACACGUCUUUCAUUAAUUAUUUGUAACCUAUUAUAAAACUUUA